RNAcentral lists this transfer RNA (83 nucleotides) under Spirochaetota bacterium. RNAcentral describes it as "Spirochaetes bacterium (groundwater metagenome) tRNA-Tyr". It matches the Rfam family "tRNA". Rfam says of the family: Transfer RNA (tRNA) molecules are approximately 80 nucleotides in length. Their secondary structure includes four short double-helical elements and three loops (D, anti-codon, and T loops). Lineage: Bacteria; Pseudomonadati; Spirochaetota. The record is from RNAcentral.
GGACAGGUAGCGAAGCGGUCAAACGCAACAGACUGUAAAUCUGUCGGCUUAUGUCUUCGCAGGUUCGAAUCCUGCCCUGUCCA